UGUGGACUAAGCUAUUAGUGUGUAGGUUACCAUUUAUCACCAGAGUAAUAUUUGUAUGAACCAAUCUGUUGCCCACCUGUAUAUGGGAAUUCUGUCUGCAUGAUGCAGGUGGAUUCUGGGUUCCCCAAUUGUUUCUGGAAAUAAACACAAUCUGCAUGAGCAGAUACUGCUUGUUAAGGUUGUUAAACUUUGCCAUGCAAAACACAAUGAUGGGGAGGGGGAGAUUGUACCAUCAAAUUAAAUUGUGCACUUUCACAGCCUGGCCAUUUUGCACAACCAUCUUUAAGGCAGCUCUGGGCACAACGGGUUGCAAAGAGUCUUAAUUGGAAAGCGGUUUGAACAUGGCUGAUAUUUUGAUUCUUGGAUAAAAGGCACCGGGAGUUAAUGAAGGCACCUGGAGGCUCCCCUGGGAAGAUAACCCUCCUGUUGUCACCUGGAGGAGGCUGCGCAUCUCCGUUUCCAGGCAGGGUGAAAGCAAAACGGCACCUCUGGCCUGGCCUGAGGGCAGCAGCAUCCUGGGCUGCGUCCGGCCUGCCCUUCCUAACCUCAACUGGGGAAGGGCGGGACAGGUGUGGGGCCGCCACCCCCGAGGAGCACCCGAUCCUCCUGGCUCAGGUGCGGGGGAGAGCGGGCGCAGCAUCCAGGUUCCCUCGGGACGGCUCAGGUGGACCGGGUGGGAUGGGGAAGCCCCCCUCAAAGCCCCCGAGAUGCGGGCAUGCAUGGCGAAAUCACGAAAUGCCACGAAAGAAACGGCGGGCUCCGCAGCCCCAGCAAGAGGUGUGACACACCGUUACGAAAAUGUUAAAGUAGUGGAGAUAUCUGUGCAGCCAACUGCAGUUGAAGAGGUUGUAUCGGAAGGGAAAGACACUAUUGAAGUCCUGCAACCUUCCAACACAGGUGAAAUUGCAGCAAAAAAGGAAGAGCAAACUUUGAAUGAUCUUGUGAAUCUUUUGCAAGAUGUGGUAAAAAAUAUCCCCACAGAACUUGUAUUGUCAACUGAACCACCAGCAACUCUUUUGGUACCCAGGCUAGUAACUUCUCCCUCUGUAGCAAUGGACACUGUUUGGGUGAAUGUGAACCCCCAAAAUAGUGACAAGUCCAGAACAAUUGCCUUGAUGAAAAAGGAUACUCCAACUACAACAGCCUUUUGGAAACUCAGAAAUGACGCAUCUGCAUCUGUUAUCCUGCAUUCCAACCCAAGUCCCUCAGAAUAUCUCCCAAGUGACACAAGUGAGUCUGUUAUUCUGAUUUCUGAAGAGCCAAAUCCAGGAAAUACAUUGGGCACCAUUUCAGUUCAGUUGGAAAAAGAAGCAACCACUAAGAAAGAAGCUCCACCUAUAACAGAAAUGAAGUUGGACAUAGAGCUGCCUUCCUCCCUCUCAUCUGAAGCAUCUGAGACAGAAAUAAAGCUGGACAUAGAUAUCACUCCUUCCUCGUCCACAGUUCCACCCACCACGCAAGUGGAGAUAGAAAUGUCUCCUUCCCCAUCAACAACUGCAUCUGUACCAGAAGUGGACAUCAUUUUGCCUGCAUCUGAGUCUCCGGAAAAGAAAGCAGAAGACACAGAAAAAGAAAUGGGGAAAUUAAAAGCAUUUAUUAAUUUAUUAUAUGGCUUUAGUCCUGAAUUAACUGAAUAUGCAGAGAAUUCACCACAUAAAAAGAUGGCUCAGGAUAUUGUUGAAAGAUCAAUGGAAGUCCUUGAUGCCAUAAAGAGUGUUUUUUGCGGAAAUCCUAAAAAGCAAAGUAAACAGAUUUUGAAGCAGUUGUUACAGAAAGACAUGGAGCUUGUAAGACAAGCCAUGAAGGGAAAAAAAGCCUCUUAAGAUACAUUUACUGCUUGGUACUGUAGGUUUUUAUGAACAAUCAAGAGGUCUGGUUUCUUAAUUGUAACAGCAAUUGAAAUACACCUGUAGCCAUUUUCAUGCCUGAAAUUAAAUGUUUGUUUUUAAACAUUUUUG
RNAcentral lists this long non-coding RNA (1958 nucleotides) under Naja naja (Indian cobra). Its description in RNAcentral is "lncRNA (ENSNNAG00000012856.1)". Lineage: Eukaryota; Metazoa; Chordata; Lepidosauria; Squamata; Elapidae. The record is from RNAcentral.